This 1471-nucleotide ribosomal RNA is filed under the name uncultured prokaryote. Its description in RNAcentral is "partial 16S ribosomal RNA". It matches the Rfam family "Bacterial small subunit ribosomal RNA". The record is from RNAcentral.
GAGUUUGAUCAUGGCUCAGAUUGAACGCUGGCGGCAGGCUUAACACAUGCAAGUCGAGCGGAAACGAAGGUAGCUUGCUAUCAGGCGUCGAGCGGCGGACGGGUGAGUAACGCGUGGGAAUUUGCCUAGUAGUGGGGGAUAGCCCAGAGAAAUUUGGAUUAAUACCGCAUAAGCCCUACAGUAAAGGUGGCCUCUCCUUGGAAGCUAUCGCUAUUAGAUAAGCCCGCGUCAGAUUAGCUAGUUGGUGAGGUAAAGGCUCACCAAGGCGACGAUCUGUAGCUGGUCUGAGAGGAUGAUCAGCCACACUGGAACUGAGACACGGUCCAGACUCCUACGGGAGGCAGCAGUGGGGAAUAUUGCGCAAUGGGGGAAACCCUGAUGCAGCCAUGCCGCGUGUGUGAUGAAGGCCCUAGGGUCGUAAAGCACUUUCGCCAGAGAUGAUAAUGACAGUAUCUGGUAAAGAAACCCCGGCUAACUCCGUGCCAGCAGCCGCGGUAAUACGGAGGGGGUUAGCGUUGUUCGGAAUUACUGGGCGUAAAGCGUACGUAGGCGGAUUAGAAAGUAUGGGGUGAAAUCCCAGGGCUCAACCCUGGAACUGCCUCAUAAACUACUAGUCUAGAGUUCGAGAGAGGUGAGUGGAAUUCCGAGUGUAGAGGUGAAAUUCGUAGAUAUUCGGAGGAACACCAGUGGCGAAGGCGGCUCACUGGCUCGAUACUGACGCUGAGGUACGAAAGUGUGGGGAGCAAACAGGAUUAGAUACCCUGGUAGUCCACACCGUAAACGAUGAAUGCCAGUCGUCGGGUUGCAUGCAAUAGCGGCCAAGCGAAAGUAUUAAGCAUACCGCCUGGGGAGUACGGCCGCAAGGCUAAAACUCAAAUGAAUUGACGGGGGCCCGCACAAGCGGUGGAGCAUGUGGUUUAAUUCGAUCCAACGCGAAGAACCUUACCUGGUCUUGACAUCCUACGAACUUACUAGAAAUAGUUUGGUGCCUUCGGGAACGUAGUAACAGGUGCUGCAUGGCUGUCGUCAGCUCGUGUCGUGAGAUGUUGGGUUAAGUCCCGUAACGAGCGCAACCCUUGCCCUUAGUUGCCAGCAUUUAGUUGGGCACUUUAGGGGGACUGCCGGUGACAAACCGGAGGAAGGUGGGGACGACGUCAAGUCAUCAUGGCCCUUACGACCAGGGCUACACACGUGCUACAAUGGAGCGUACAAAGGGUUGCGACCUCGCGAGAGUGAGCUAAUCCCAUAAAACGUUUCGUAGUCCGGAUCGCAGUCUGCAACUCGACUGCGUGAAGUCGGAAUCGCUAGUAAUCGUAGAUCAGAAUGCUACGGUGAAUACGUUCCCGGGCCUUGUACACACCGCCCGUCACACCAUGGGAGUGGGUUGCAAAAGAAGUGGGUAGCAUAACCUUCGGGAGUGCGCUCACCACUUUGUGAUUCAUGACUGGGGUGAAGUCGUAACAAGGUAACC